UUGAAUGUAUGAAUGAAAAUUACCUCUUGUGUGUAUUGUGACAUGGUAUCAGAGCAGGACACACGGUCCUGGUUCCUCUUCUCCAAGUUACCUGUAGCCCGGUUCUUGUGAACAUUUUCACAAACACAUGGAAGACCCCAACUUCAUCACCGAUCCCAGCCAAUCUUCACCUAAUUCUGAUGCUAUACUUACAGAUAUUUCCACCAAAAUUUCUGAAGCCUUAAC
RNAcentral lists this long non-coding RNA (225 nucleotides) under Olea europaea (common olive). RNAcentral's name for it is "long non-coding RNA (OEUR_LNC000215)". Lineage: Eukaryota; Viridiplantae; Streptophyta; Magnoliopsida; Lamiales; Oleaceae. The record is from RNAcentral.